This 322-nucleotide long non-coding RNA is filed under the name Lathyrus oleraceus (garden pea). RNAcentral describes it as "Pisum sativum (pea) long non-coding RNA (PSAT_LNC036828)". Lineage: Eukaryota; Viridiplantae; Streptophyta; Magnoliopsida; Fabales; Fabaceae. The record is from RNAcentral.
AACAUCUUCUUCAUCUACUCCUCCUCCUUCAUCUGGAACCACUCCUACUCCACCUACCAGCGGAGGAACACCAUCCCCUUCUUCUCCAACUCAGCAUGGCGCAACUCCUCCAUCACCGGGUUCAGCCACUGCUAUCGUUGCUACUUUCCCUGCUCUCAUUGCUAUUGUCAUAAACUUGUUGCUUUAGACACACCAGUUUUUUUUGGAAUGGUUAUUUACACUGUUUCAAUUUUUGGAUUUGAUGUUCUAUAAUUAGGGUUUAGGAUAUAUUUAAUUUGUAUUAUCAAUAAGAUUUAAUUGAUAUAUACAGACAAUGUAAAAG